RNAcentral lists this ribosomal RNA (373 nucleotides) under uncultured bacterium. Its description in RNAcentral is "bacterial SSU rRNA". It matches the Rfam family "Bacterial small subunit ribosomal RNA", at positions 131 to 503 of the family's 1533-position model. The record is from RNAcentral.
CAGAACACUGGGAUAGCCCCCGGAAACGGGGAUUAAUACCGGAUGGUCCAUAGUUGAGGCAUCUCAAUAAUGGUAAAGCUCAGGCGGUUCUGGGUCCUCAUGCGUAUGAUUAGCUAGUUGGCGGGGUAAAGGCCCACCAAGGCGACGAUCAUUAGGGGUCCUGAGAGGGAGGUCCCCCACACUGGUACUGAGACACGGGCCAGACUCCUACGGGAGGCAGCAGUAGGGAAUAUUGGGCAAUGGAGGCAACUCUGACCCAGCCAUGCCGCGUGCAGGAAGAAGGCCCUCUGGGUUGUAAACUGCUUUUGGACAGGGACAAAAAGAUCGUGCGCGGUCAAUUGAGUGUACUGUCARAAUAAGCCCCGGCUAACUC